RNAcentral lists this microRNA (23 nucleotides) under Panagrellus redivivus. RNAcentral describes it as "prd-miR-81-3p". Its record names the gene prd-miR-81-3p. The record is from miRBase by way of RNAcentral. Lineage: Eukaryota; Metazoa; Nematoda; Chromadorea; Rhabditida; Panagrolaimidae.
UGAGAUCAAAAGUUAGACUCAUU